UGGGGAAUUGUUCACAAUGGGCGCAAGCCUGAUGACGCAACGCCGCGUGGGGGAUGAAGGUCUUCGGAUUGUAAACCCCUGUCGAACGGGACGAACGGCCUCUGGGCUAAUCACCAGAGGAGUGACGGUACCGUUAAAGGAAGCCACGGCUAACUCUGUGCCAGCAGCCGCGGUAAUACAGAGGUGGCAAGCGUUGUUCGGAAUUACUGGGCGUAAAGGGCGCGUAGGCGGCCAUCUAAGUCAGACGUGAAAUCCCCCGGCUUAACCUGGGAACUGCGUCUGAUACUGGAAGGCUCGAGUUUGGGAGAGGGAUGUGGAAUUCCAGGUGUAGCGGUGAAAUGCGUAGAUAUCUGGAGGAACACCGGUGGCGAAGGCGGCAUCCUGGACCAACACUGACGCUGAGGCGCGAAAGCUAGGGGAGCAAACGGGAUUAGAUACCCCGGUAGUCCUAGCCCUAAACGAUGAAUGCUUGGUGUGGCGGGUAUCGAUCCCUGCCGUGCCGAAGCUAACGCAUUAAGCAUUCCGCCUGGGGAGUACGGUCGCAAGGCUGA
Molecule: ribosomal RNA, 551 nt
Filed under: uncultured Acidobacteriota bacterium
Lineage: Bacteria; Pseudomonadati; Acidobacteriota
Description: bacterial SSU rRNA
Rfam family: Bacterial small subunit ribosomal RNA
Source: RNAcentral